This 253-nucleotide ribosomal RNA is filed under the name uncultured bacterium. RNAcentral's name for it is "partial 16S ribosomal RNA". It matches the Rfam family "Bacterial small subunit ribosomal RNA", at positions 524 to 776 of the family's 1533-position model. The record is from RNAcentral.
UACGGAGGAUGCAAGCGUUAUCCGGAAUGAUUGGGCGUAAAGCGUCCGCAGGUGGCUGUGUAAGUCUGCUGUUAAAUAGUGAGGCUCAACCUCAUAAAGGCAGUGGAAACUACACGGCUAGAGUGCGUUCGGGGCAGAGGGAAUUCCUGGUGUAGCGGUGAAAUGCGUAGAGAUCAGGAAGAACACCGGUGGCGAAAGCGCCCUGCUAGGCCGCAACUGACACUGAGGGACGAAAGCUAGGGGAGCGAAUGGG